AAGCCCCAGUAAACGGCGGCCGUAACUAUAACGGUCCUAAGGUAGCGAAAUUCCUUGUCGGGUAAGUUCCGACCCGCACGAAAGGCGUAACGAUUUGGGCACUGUCUCAACGAGAGACUCGGUGAAAUCAUAGUACCUGUGAAGAUGCAGGUUACCCGCGACAGGACGGAAAGACCCCGUGGAGCUUUACUGUAGCCUGAUAUUGAAAUUCGGCACAGCUUGUACAGGAUAGGUAGGAGCCUUUGAAACGUGAGCGCUAGCUUACGUGGAGGCGUUGGUGGGAUACUACCCUAGCUGUGUUGGCUUUCUAACCCGCACCACUUAUCGUGGUGGGAGACAGUGUCAGGCGGGCAGUUUGACUGGGGCGGUCGCCUCCUAAAAGGUAACGGAGGCGCUCAAAGGUUCCCUCAGAAUGGUUGGAAAUCAUUCAUAGAGUGUAAAGGCAUAAGGGAGCUUGACUGCGAGACCUACAAGUCGAGCAGGGUCGAAAGACGGACUUAGUGAUCCGGUGGUUCCGCAUGGAAGGGCCAUCGCUCAACGGAUAAAAGCUACCCCGGGGAUAACAGGCUUAUCUCCCCCAAGAGUUCACAUCGACGGGGAGGUUUGGCACCUCGAUGUCGGCUCAUCGCAUCCUGGGGCUGUAGUCGGUCCCAAGGGUUGGGCUGUUCGCCCAUUAAAGCGGUACGCGAGCUGGGUUCAGAACGUCGUGAGACAGUUCGGUCCCUAUCCGUCGUGGGCGUAGGAAAUUUGAGAGGAGCUGUCCUUAGUACGAGAGGACCGGGAUGGACAUACCUCUGGUGUACCAGUUGUCGUGCCAACGGCAUAGCUGGGUAGCUAUGUAUGGACGGGAUAAGUGCUGAAAGCAUCUAAGCAUGAAGCCCCCCUCAAGAUGAGAUUUCCCAACUUCGGUUAUAAGAUCCCUCGAAGAUGACGAGGUUAAUAGGUUCGAGGUGGAAGCGUGGUGACACGUGGAGCUGACGAAUACUAAUCGAUCGAAGACUUAAUCAAUUUUUAAA
This 1016-nucleotide ribosomal RNA is filed under the name Staphylococcus epidermidis. RNAcentral describes it as "partial 23S ribosomal RNA". It matches the Rfam family "Bacterial large subunit ribosomal RNA", at positions 1915 to 2925 of the family's 2925-position model. The record is from RNAcentral. Lineage: Bacteria; Bacillati; Bacillota; Bacilli; Caryophanales; Staphylococcaceae.